UACGUAGGGUGCGAGCGUUGUCCGGAAUUAUUGGGCGUAAAGAGCUCGUAGGCGGUCUGUCGCGUCGGUCGUGAAAACUCAGGGCUUAACCCUGAGCCUGCAGUGGGUACGGGCAGACUAGAGUGUGGUAGGGGAGAUCGGAAUUCCUGGUGUAGCGGUGGAAUGCGCAGAUAUCAGGAGGAACACCGGUGGCGAAGGCGGAUCUCUGGGCCAUAACUGACGCUGAGGAGCGAAAGCAUGGGGAGCGAACAGG
This 253-nucleotide ribosomal RNA is filed under the name uncultured bacterium. Its description in RNAcentral is "partial 16S ribosomal RNA". It matches the Rfam family "Bacterial small subunit ribosomal RNA", at positions 524 to 776 of the family's 1533-position model. The record is from RNAcentral.